GGCUCAGGAUAAACGCUGGCGGCGUGCCUAACACAUGCAAGUCGAACGCACACGGACGAGUUCUGUGUGAGUGGCGGACGGGUGAGGAACACGUGGGUAAUCUGCCCUGUGGUGAGGAAUACCAGCGAGAAAUCGCUGACAAUACCGCAUAGGUUUGUAAAAACAACAAAGCUUCGUAAGAAGCGCCACAGGAUGAGCCCGCGCCCGAUUAGCUGGUUGGUGGGGUAAUGGCCUACCAAGGCGACGAUCGGUAGCUGGUCUGAGAGGAUAGUCAGCCACACUGGGAUUGAGAACGGCCCAGACUCCUACGGGAGGCAGCAGUGAGGAAUUUUCCGCAAUGGGCGCAAGCCUGACGGAGCAACGCCGCGUGCAGGAUGAAGGUCUUCGGAUCGUAAACUGCUUUUCCCAGGGACGAGAAUGGACGGUACCUGGGGAAUAAGUUCCGGCUAACUACGUGCCAGCCGCUGC
This 468-nucleotide ribosomal RNA is filed under the name uncultured bacterium. RNAcentral's name for it is "bacterial SSU rRNA". It matches the Rfam family "Bacterial small subunit ribosomal RNA", at positions 21 to 518 of the family's 1533-position model. The record is from RNAcentral.